CACCGGCCGAGGAGCAGAGGGAUCGUCGCGCUCGCGGCUGACGGGCGGCCGGGACCAGCAGAAGUGGGCGGGGUGGCCGCCUCUCCGGGCAGCCCGGGCCGGCCGGGCCCACCCUCCCCCCUCCCUAGCUGAUUGGCUCAGGCGGCCCGUUCUCCGCCCGUGAUUGUGCCGGGUCCCCAAUCCCAUUCGCCCAUGCCGCGGCCACGCCGCCCUGGGGGGCUAUGGAUCAUAUUGGAGCCACCGCCUCUAGUCUCUCGGCGGCCGUCAGGACGCGAUUGGUCCGCGGAGAGCAGAGAGGCGGAAAACCCGGGCUGGAUUUCUGGUGGCUUUUGUUCCCGCAAAUUUACGUGGAGCAUUGUUUUUGGGCGAAAACGGGGCCUUCGGCCUUCCUGCUUUAUUCCUGAGCGGUGUAAGAGGGAGGUAGUGGGUAUCUUCGAGAAACGGCCGCCGCGGGGUCCGGAGCCCCGGGUUCCAAUCCCGGGUCGGCCACUGCUAAGCUGUGUGACCUUGGGAUAUGAUCCAAGGUGCUGAAAACUUCCUAACAAAACUCUUCAGCCGAAUCUGGCACGCCUAUGGUUCCAGCUACUGGGUAGACUGAGGCAGGAGGAUCGCUUGAGGCCAAGAGUUCAAGGCCAACCUGGGCAACAUGGUGAGACCCCCCCCUCCCCCCCAGUCUCUCCAAAACAAACAAACCCCACAUUCUCCAGUCUUAGGUCUUCAAGGAUGAACAGACAUUGCAGAAAGGCACGGUUGGGAACAGAAAAAAAUGAUCUCCACUCCCCCAGCCCCCUCCACACCUUGGGCACAUUUCCCUGGAGCCGCCCGAGUGUUCUUUGUCAGUGUAGGAAGAAGCAAAAAUCUAAAUGGAGUCAGGAUGGCCUCCCACAUGGGCACAAGGACAAGGCUGGGGACAGUUGGGUCUCCUCAUCUUAUUUCCCAGGUCUAGGCUGAUUUCUAUUAAUAAUUAAAUUAAUCGUUGUUCUCCUGGACCUCACUUCUUAAUGUGAUUCCAGGAAACUGGCCACAUUCCAAAAUUCAUAAUCUAAGGUAGUGAAAUAACGUGAGCAUCAAGACAGUUUGGCUGGGCUCAGAGGCUCACAUCUGUAAUCCCAGUACUUUGGGAGGCCGAGGGUAGAUCCCUUGAGCCCAGGAGUUCGAGACCAGCCUGGGCAACAUGGCGAAAUCCCAUCUCUACAAAAAAUACAAAAAUUAGCCAGAUGUGGUGGCAUGUGCCUGUAGUCCCAGUUACUUGGGAGACUGCGGUGGAAGGAUUGCCUGAGCCCAGGAAAGGGAGGUUGCGGUGAAUGGGGAUCCCACCACUGCACUCCAGCCUGGGUGACAGCGUAAGACUCUGUCUCAAAAACAAAAGAUUCAUUUCUUAUUGAUAAAGCAAGCUCCUUGGAGAAAGAUCUUGGAACCUCAUUGGGAGUGGAGGUGGGGCUUCUUCAAUCCAGCCGAGCUGGCUGUGAAACCCCCAGGGUUUGGUACCAAGUGAGCUCCAGUCCCAGCUGUGGCUGACUGUGUGAACUUGGCUAUGCAUUCAAGGGCCUCUGAGCCUCAGUUUCCUCAUCUGUAGAAGAGAGCCAGGAACCCGUCAUCCUGGCUAGCAGUGGAAGUCAAAGGUGCUCAUGGAAAGAAUGUCCUUGCUGGCUGGAACAAGGGAGGCCUGAGCUGUGGAAGUCCUUGGAUCAAGGUCCUCCCCACUUCCCGCUGCCUUUUUGGUCCUUCUUGCGUGCUCUUUGUGAUUUAAUGGCUUAGUAGGUUGAAUCAUGUCCCCCCAAAGUUUAUCUCUACCCCAAAUCUCAGAAUGUGACCUUAUUUGGAAAAAGAGUCUUUGCAGAUAAUUAAGGUAAGAGUCAAGAUAAAAUCACACUGAAUUAUGGUGAGCCCUACAUGCAAUGAGACAGUCCUUACAAGAUACAGAAAAGAACACAUAGAGACUUCGGGGGAAAGGAGACUAUGUGCAAGGAUGGCAGAGAUUGGAGCCGAGGGGUGCCUGGGCCUACCAGAGGCUGCAAGAGACAGGGAGGACCCUCCCCUAGAGCCUCCAGGGGGAACAGCCCUGCCCACACCUUGACUUUGGACUCCUGGCCUCCAGAACUGUGAGAGGAAGUCGGCGUGGCUCAGCUCAGUCCAGUUCACAACAAAUAUGAAAUCCCUGCCCUACAGGACCAGGCCUCAGGAAGGGCUUGGGGGCCUCAGAGGCAAAUGAGACCAGGUCCAUCAACCAUACAGAACUGACAACCUGGACUCCCCACUCUGAAGGCACCUACUGUCUCACCCUUCCCUGACUCUGCCCGUGCACAAGGUGACCCCGGCUGCAAGCGUGCCAGGAGCUUUUCUCCACCUCUGCCUCAACAUCUGCCGCCUCUCCUCCUCUGGAGAGGGAGGCAGCUGAAGGACACCAGCCCCACGCCUUGCUGGAGCAGCUGAGAUCGCUGGGAGGAGACCUAGGACCCUACGAGAGGAGGGAUCUGGAGGCCAGGACAGGAGCAGGACAACACAAACAGAGGCCUCAGAAGAAGACUCAGAGUGGGACAGGGGUUCCUUAAGUGACGGGGGCUGGAAGUGCACAGAGAAGCCUGGUGCAGCAGGGAAUUUUCUCUCCCUGGGGUGCUGCCAAGGUAUGUGUGGUCUCCAGCUGCGACAUGUGCUUCCUUCCCUUGGCCUGAGUCCUGCUUUCCUGUGAUUGAGAAGGUUUGGGACCUGACACCCUGAGCAUGGAGGCCAUAAAUCCAGUGGAUCCCUAAACUUCCUGACGGGGUCCUGG
Molecule: long non-coding RNA, 2770 nt
Filed under: Homo sapiens (human)
Lineage: Eukaryota; Metazoa; Chordata; Mammalia; Primates; Hominidae
Description: non-protein coding lnc-POTEB-5:2
Source: RNAcentral